This 159-nucleotide ribosomal RNA is filed under the name uncultured bacterium. Its description in RNAcentral is "partial 16S rRNA". It matches the Rfam family "Bacterial small subunit ribosomal RNA", at positions 355 to 507 of the family's 1533-position model. The record is from RNAcentral.
UAGGGAAUCUUGCGCAAUGGGCGAAAGCCUGACGCAGCGACGCCGCGUGAGGGAAGAAGGCCUUCGGGUUGUAAACCUCUUUCAGGAGGGACGAAGCCACUCGGGUUAAUAGCCCAGAGGGUGACGGUACCUCCAGAAGAAGCCCCGGCUAACUACGUG